This 75-nucleotide transfer RNA is filed under the name Neodrepanis coruscans (wattled asity). RNAcentral's name for it is "tRNA-Asn". It matches the Rfam family "tRNA". From Rfam's summary of the family: Transfer RNA (tRNA) molecules are approximately 80 nucleotides in length. Their secondary structure includes four short double-helical elements and three loops (D, anti-codon, and T loops). Lineage: Eukaryota; Metazoa; Chordata; Aves; Passeriformes; Philepittidae. The record is from RNAcentral.
UAGGCAGAAGCCUGAUAGGUUUAGGGCAUUUAGCUGUUAACUAAAGUUUCAUGGGAUCGAAGCCCAUCUGUCUAG